This 100-nucleotide transfer RNA is filed under the name Planctomycetaceae bacterium. Its description in RNAcentral is "tRNA-Sec". The record is from RNAcentral. Lineage: Bacteria; Pseudomonadati; Planctomycetota; Planctomycetia; Planctomycetales; Planctomycetaceae.
AGAAGUGCGUGCAUGGCUGGUGUCGGCCCCGGUCUUCAAAGCCGGUUGAGCUGCCCGCAUUGUCAGGCGACUGGUGCGUUUGAUUUCCAUGUAGUUCCGC